Molecule: long non-coding RNA, 375 nt
Filed under: Salvia miltiorrhiza (redroot sage)
Lineage: Eukaryota; Viridiplantae; Streptophyta; Magnoliopsida; Lamiales; Lamiaceae
Description: long non-coding RNA (SMIL_LNC005847)
Source: RNAcentral
UUAAUGUCGAUAUUGGGGCGAACCCUUCUGCUGAAGGUGGUGACGAAGACGAAGGCGUAGAUGAUCAAGCUGUCAAGGUUGUGGACAUUGUAGACACUUUCCGGCUUCAAGAGCAGCCUCCUUUCGACAAAAAACAGUUCAUAGCAUACGUGAAGAAGUAUAUCAAGAACUUGACCCCGAAGCUUGAACCUGAGAAACAAGAGCAGUUCAAGAAGGGCAUUGAAGGAGCUACAAAAUACCUUGUCUCAAAGCUAAAGGACUUUCAAUUGUAAGUAGAUUCAGCUUUUCCUUCUGCUAUAGUAGCUACAAUUCUGCAAUGUUUUUCUGCAGUGAACACAAACCAUAUAAGCAUAUAAUAUUUUGUUUCAUUGCAGC